This 83-nucleotide non-coding RNA is filed under the name Desulfosporosinus acidiphilus. RNAcentral describes it as "c-di-GMP sequence". It matches the Rfam family "c-di-GMP-I-GGC riboswitch aptamer". Lineage: Bacteria; Bacillati; Bacillota; Clostridia; Eubacteriales; Desulfitobacteriaceae. The record is from RNAcentral.
AAAGACAAAGGCAAACUUGGUGAAAGCUAAGGACGCAAAGCCACGGGUCUUUCUAUUAACGAAAGAUAGCCGGGUUGCACAAU